RNAcentral lists this ribosomal RNA (750 nucleotides) under Zwackhia sorediifera. Its description in RNAcentral is "mitochondrial SSU rRNA". It matches the Rfam family "Bacterial small subunit ribosomal RNA", at positions 390 to 1202 of the family's 1533-position model. Lineage: Eukaryota; Fungi; Ascomycota; Arthoniomycetes; Arthoniales; Lecanographaceae. The record is from RNAcentral.
UACUAUGUUUCGUUAAUAAUCAUUUUAUUCCACAGUGGUUUUCCACAUAAAGUUCUAGAUAUACUAUUGAUUAUGACAACUGUAUAUCUAUUAGUCUCGACUAAAUCACGUGCCAGCUGUCGCGGUAAUACGGGAGAGACAAGUGUUAUUCAUCUUUAUUAGGUAUAUAGGGUACCUAGACGGAUUUGAAAAACCUUGAAUAAUAAAGAGGUAAAAUAGUCUUGAGUUUUAUAUGAGAGGAAUAUUAGUACUAACGGAGUAGAGAUGAAAUUCUUUGAUACUGUUGGGCACUGGUAAGGGCGAAGGCAAUCCUUUAUGUUUAAACUGACGUUGAGGGACGAAGGCUCGGGUAGCAAACAGGAUUAGGUACCCUAAUAGUCCGGGCAGUCAAUGAUGAGUGUCAUAGAUUAGCGUGAAGGAAAAAAAGGAGUCCUUUUAAUCUAUAAAUGAAAGUGUAAGCACUCCACCUCAAGAGUAAUGUGGCAACGCAGGAACUGAAAUCAUUAGACCGUUUCUGAAACCAGUAGUGAAGUAUGUUGUUCAAUUCGAUGUUACGCGAAUAAUCUUACCACAAUUUGAAUAUAGAUUAAUCUAUACAGGUGCUGCACGGCUGUCUUUAGUUAAUGUCGUGAGAUGAAGGUUAGCUCCAACUAAUUAACGUAAACCCUUACUUUAUUUUUUUUUUUCAUAAAGUAGUUCUUUGAUACACAAGAUAAGAUAAAAGGGAUCAAGGCAAGCACUCGCGACCCU